Molecule: transfer RNA, 72 nt
Filed under: Camelus bactrianus (Bactrian camel)
Lineage: Eukaryota; Metazoa; Chordata; Mammalia; Artiodactyla; Camelidae
Also listed under: 2 other names
Rfam family: tRNA
About the family: Transfer RNA (tRNA) molecules are approximately 80 nucleotides in length. Their secondary structure includes four short double-helical elements and three loops (D, anti-codon, and T loops).
Source: Rfam by way of RNAcentral
GUGGGUAUAGCUCAGUGGUAGAGUGCAUGCUUAGCAUGCAGGAGGUCCUGGGUUCAAUCCCCAGUACUUCCA